UGGAACUUGCACUCCUACUGCCUCAGCCUCCCAAGUAGCCAGGAUUACAGGCAUGAGCCACUGCACCCACUCUUUUCCCUCCCUUAUAUUGGUUAAUGCUAAGCUUUUUUUUUUUUUUUUUUUUUUGUACCAGGGAUUGAACUCAGGACCUUGCACUUGCAAGACAGGCAGCAGCACCACUGAGCUAAAUCCCCAGCCCGAUGCUAAGCUUUUUUAAAGAGUGUUUUUAGGGGCAGUUUUAAUGGCUCACAGCAAAACUGAGCAGAAGGUAGAGAUUUCUGUACACUCCCUCCCCUGCAUGUGCAGUCUCUCCCAGAAUGGACAUUCUGCCCAGAGUAGUGAAUUUGCACUGUUGGUGCAGAACCAACUAAUAAACCUACACUGACGUAUUUGCACCAGGACUCACUCUCACUGCUGGACACUCCAUGGGUUUGGAUGAAGGCAUAGUGAAUGGCAUGCGUCCAACACUACAGCACCAUACAAAAUACUUUCACUGCCCUAAAACUCUUCUGGUUGUACAUCUUUUAAUUGAACAACCAGUUUCUUCUUCACUAGAUAAAAAUAUAUUUUUAACUCUAAAGUUGGCCUUGGAGGUGGCUAAGUUAACAGAAAUUGAAGUCGUUUUACCUACCCACACACUAGCAGUGUGGAGACCAGGGAAUCAUUCAUCUAAUGGCAGAUACCAACACCGUAAGGAUUAAGUUGUUUGUCCUAAAGAAUCAAAUGCAAAAAUGUUUAAACCUAUCUGAGGAGAGACUGGAGGAGGAGAUAUUAGUGUAUCUGUUAUGCCUACGAUGAUACAAAGUUCACAUGGCAAAUAACAGCACCUGAGCAGCACCAGAUGCAAAAAGCACACACAGAGGGCCAAAGAUUUAGCUCAGUGGCACCGCGCCUGCCUUGAAAGUGCAAGGUCCUGGGUUUGAUCCCCAUACCAAAAAACAAAAAACAGAACUCGAGCUCCACAGAAUGGCCUGGAACUAAUGUUAUCCCACUAAAACAGGCUCUGAAAUAAGACUAGAAGAGGAAUUUUUAAAAGUUUUUCAGUCAUGAAAUCAUCAUUAAAAUGAAUACAUGGUUUCCCACAAUGGUUCUUUUGAAGAACACAAUGUAUAUUUAGAAGUAGGCAUUUCCUUUUGCUUGCUAAAAUUUAGUCGCAUGUCUUUAUACUACACUUGAUUUGUGCACAUAAUGAAAGGCAGUUGGAGGGAAAAAUGACGUUAGAAGUUGGUGAUCCAAGAAACACUACAGGAAGUAAAAUUUAAACUGGUGACCCAAAGCUCUGGAGAGACACAAUAAGAAAAUGAGGUACGUAUUUUCUAAGAUGUCAUUUAAUGCCACAAGUAGUCAAAGUAGAAACUCAGAAAGAACAGUCUUGGGUACAACGUCCUUGUCAUUAUCCCAGAAAAUGUUUAUGUACCAAAUAUUAUGUAGCAACUUCCCCAUUUCAUAAAGCUGUAGAUUGUCAAAUAUUCUUGUUAACUAGAGACAGAAUUCUGAGCAAUAUUCCCAGCUUUUUAGUCUCUUUGUUUUCAAUUAGCAGUCUAGCCUUAUGUUUUUAAAAACAUCCUCUCUAUUCUAUUAUUUUUAAUGAUAAAGAUCCCUGUAUAAAACUUUAACAUUAUCAUCAUCUCGUGAAAAAUUAAAAAUUACAUGCCAAAAGUGAUAAAAGAAGCAUUAUUCCCCCCUUAUUCUUUGGGGAAAAAUAAUGAAGAGGGAGCAUUGUUUUGCUAUCUUCUGAUCUUCCAAGCACGUGAGGGCUGGAAAAUGGAAUCACUUAAAUAACAACCCAGAUUGUUUCCUCUCACAAAACAGAAUAAUAGUGGGAACAUUUUUGUGACUCCAAGGAAGCAAAUGUUUCUAAUUAGCGAACAAAAUCGGCUGAGGUAACUGCUGUGGGUACACAAACAACAAAAUCGCCCAAAUUCUGUUUGUGAAGGUUGCCACCUACUGGAGAAGAUGCAGUACUACAGCUGGCUUUCGGGGGUUGGCGGGGAGGAGCCGGGGAUAAGGAGGGCAGCCGUGGGACAGUCACACAGCGGCAGAAGUCAGAAGCCAGGGAGGGGACCUCUGCCUGGGCCUUAGGGGGGUUUUAGGGCUUAACCAAGGGCAAAUAGAGUCUGUGAAGCGGAAGCCAUGCGGCCCAGACACAGAGAGUAAUGCAUGGAAAGCAGCUGAGAGCCGCAGAUGACUAACUAUCCACUGGAAUAGACCACUCCUCAUCAUAGCCCAAGAAACAGUCGUGGAAAUAAUGAUGGGGAAAACACCGAGGGGCUAGAGCUUCUUAAUCUCUUCCUUUCCUAAAUCCCAUUAAACUGCUGCCCUUAACAAGA
This is a non-coding RNA of Heterocephalus glaber (naked mole-rat), 2330 nucleotides long. The record is from RefSeq and is a predicted model, not a curated record. Lineage: Eukaryota; Metazoa; Chordata; Mammalia; Rodentia; Bathyergidae.